RNAcentral lists this ribosomal RNA (253 nucleotides) under uncultured bacterium. RNAcentral's name for it is "partial 16S ribosomal RNA". It matches the Rfam family "Bacterial small subunit ribosomal RNA", at positions 524 to 776 of the family's 1533-position model. The record is from RNAcentral.
UACGGAGGGUGCGAGCGUUAAUCGGAAUUACUGGGCGUAAAGCGUGCGUAGGUGGUUAGAUAAGUUAUCUGUGAAAUCCCUGGGCUUAACCUGGGCAGGUCAGAUGAUACUGUUUGACUCGAGUAUGGGAGAGGGUAGUGGAAUUUCCGGUGUAGCGGUGAAAUGCGUAGAGAUCGGAAGGAACACCAGUGGCGAAGGCGGCUACCUGGCCUAAUACUGACACUGAGGCACGAAAGCGUGGGGAGCAAACAGG